This 492-nucleotide ribosomal RNA is filed under the name uncultured bacterium. RNAcentral describes it as "partial 16S ribosomal RNA". It matches the Rfam family "Bacterial small subunit ribosomal RNA", at positions 29 to 507 of the family's 1533-position model. The record is from RNAcentral.
AGUGAACGCUGGCGGUAGGCCUAACACAUGCAAGUCGAACGGCAGCACAGUAAGAGCUUGCUCUUACGGGUGGCGAGUGGCGGACGGGUGAGGAAUACAUCGGAAUCUACUUUUUCGUGGGGGAUAACGUAGGGAAACUUACGCUAAUACCGCAUACGACCUACGGGUGAAAGCAGGGGAUCUUCGGACCUUUCGCGAUUGAAUGAGCCGAUGUCGGAUUAGCUAGUUGGCGGGGUAAAGGCCCACCAAGGCGACGAUCCGUAGCUGGUCUGAGAGGAUGAUCAGCCACACUGGAACGGAGACACGGUCCAGACUCCUACGGGAGGCAGCAGUGGGGAAUAUUGGACAAUGGGCGCAAGCCUGAUCCAGCCAUACCGCGUGGGUGAAGAAGGCCUUCGGGUUGUAAAGCCCUUUUGUUGGGAAAGAAAAGCAGCAGGUUAAUACCCCGCUGUUCUGACGGUACCCAAAGAAUAAGCACCGGCUAACUUCGUG